This is a non-coding RNA of Cinara cedri, 1400 nucleotides long. Lineage: Eukaryota; Metazoa; Arthropoda; Insecta; Hemiptera; Aphididae. The record is from the annotation of a GenBank genome assembly.
CUAAAUAAAAUGACAUUGAACGACUGAUCAACAUUCAACAUAUUAAAUUCUUUGCGCAAUGCACCUGCAACAUGCACUAAUUUAAGCCAUUUUUGAGCUAUUUAUAGACAUUUAAAUUUUGGGAGUUUCAUCAUAAAAUAAAGGAGUAAACACUGUAGUCUCAUUCUGAAUCUGACAAUUCGUUGAGAAAACGAAUAAUCCACAGCAAGACAGUACAAUGGAAGAAGAAAAGAAAAAUAUAAACCGUGCAUUCUAUGGCUUUAGCAACAAUAUGGUAUAACAAGUUGGGAAGUAUUUGGACAUUGGUUUGGAGCUCGAGGUACAUCCUCAGGAUUCCUAAAUUCAUUCUUCCAUUCGUAUAACCUUGCUACUGAUUACUUUCUUAAAAUAUGACGGUCCAUUUUAAAAUACUCCCUAUACAUGUUUAAUUACCAUUUGUAUUUGUAGCUACAAGUUUGGUUUUCUUUGUUUUAUCAUUAUGUAAUCUAGUAUAUUAUUAUAGUUUAAAUUAUAAACACUAGAUAAUUAUUAGCGUUUAUCCAUUUAUAAUGUAAAUUUAGUAUUGUGUAUUUGUUUUGUAUAUUUAAAAUUUGUACUAUGUAUUUGUAUAUUGAUUAAUGCUAUCUAGUGGCAACCCACUUGGUGGAUAGCUCGCUUUUAAAUAAAAGUUUUUUCUCUUAUAAUUUGUAUUUGGAAGAUACUGUGUGGUGAAAUUGUUUGGCUUAACAGAAAAUUUAACCAGAGGUUCAUUAAAAGUCUUAUAUUAUUGUAAAACAUAUUUUAAUAUCAAAUUUUGAUUGUUCAAGUUAGAAUAAAAAAUUUUGUGGAACAAAUCUAAUUUUACGAUUUUGUGAUUUGGACAUAUGUAUAUUGCAGAUUUAAGAACGAUGAUGAAGUCAGAAUUGAGCAGACUGAGUUUCGAAAUUAUACCUUUUUGAAGUUAUGAUAUUAUGUUAUGUUAAAUAAUUCUAUAUUGUCUUUUUUAAAGAAUGAUGAUUCUGAGUAGAGUUCAGUUGAUAGUGUUGCUUUUUAAAAAUAUAUAUCCAUACCAUAUUAUACAAAAAAUAAUAACUUAAUAUGCAUUAAAUAUUUUCUUCUUUAAAAAUAUUUGCUUAAUAUUGUAGGUACCUAUUUUUCUGGUUUUUCCCUUUUAUUAGGAAAACUCCAGGGAAUAUCAAAAAAUGACAUUUAAGUACUAAAUCAAAUUUAAAAAAUAAAGAAUAAGUCAAAUUUCUUUUUUAAAGGUGUUAAACUUGAAAAUCAGACCAAAAUUCCAGGAAGUUGUUCAGGAAAAAAAAAAUAGACAUCAUUGUAAAACCAAUACAUUCCACCCUUUGCUUUGAAUCUAAAAUAUGUAUACAUAGCAAUUAUUUUAUAAUUAUUGUAAAUAUCUAGACAGG